GAUGAACGCUGGCGGCGUGCUUAACACAUGCAAGUCGAACGAUGAAGCCCAGCUUGCUGGGUGGAUUAGUGGCGAACGGGUGAGUAACACGUGAGUAACCUGCCCUUAACUCUGGGAUAAGCCUGGGAAACUGGGUCUAAUACCGGAUAGGAGCGUCCACCGCAUGGUGGGUGUUGGAAAGAUUUAUCGGUUUUGGAUGGACUCGCGGCCUAUCAGCUUGUUGGUGAGGUAAUGGCUCACCAAGGCGACGACGGGUAGCCGGCCUGAGAGGGUGACCGGCCACACUGGGACUGAGACACGGCCCAGACUCCUACGGGAGGCAGCAGUGGAGAAUAUUGCACAAUGGGCGCAAGCCUGAUGCAGCGACGCCGCGUGAGGGAUGACGGCCUUCGGGUUGUAAACCUCUUUCAGUAGGGAAGAAGCGAAAGUGACGGUACCUGCAGAAGAAGCACCGGCUAACUACGUG
Molecule: ribosomal RNA, 466 nt
Filed under: uncultured bacterium
Lineage: Bacteria
Description: partial 16S ribosomal RNA
Rfam family: Bacterial small subunit ribosomal RNA
Source: RNAcentral